This 4107-nucleotide long non-coding RNA is filed under the name Homo sapiens (human). RNAcentral's name for it is "HSALNT0242035". The record is from RNAcentral. Lineage: Eukaryota; Metazoa; Chordata; Mammalia; Primates; Hominidae.
CCACUGCACCUGUCCUCAAUGUCCCCUUUCUUUCUGUUUAGUUUUACUGUUUCCUGGAGCUCUUCUGAGGCAGUCAGUGUCCAGGCAGGCAAGUGAGUUGUGGUGGGGUAGAGGGUGAGAGGACACUGUUAGACCACCUGGGUGUCACAGAAAGUUUGCUGCAGUCGAGAAGCCUGAAGGAAGGGUGGGGGCUGGGGUGGAGGAGUGUAUGGCGAAAGACAACAGUGGUGUGGUGGAGUCCACUGCCUAGGAAAGCACAGACGCACCUCCAGGCGACCCUGCAGACUGGGGUCGGGAAAAGGACAGGCUGAGAAGUCUAGAAAGGCAAAGAAGUUAACGAUGUUUGGCAGUCUGAGGUCUUAUCAGUGUGUUGGGGUCAGGUGGGGGCCGAGGCAACAAGCUCAGGCAGACGCCAGCCGGGGCUGGGACGGUGCAGGUGAGGAGGGGCUGCCUGGGGGACAGCCCGCCUCACUGACCCAACCUGGGACAAGAGGACACAGGGAGAAGACAAACGUCCCUUCAUCCUGAGAUUCACUUGGAAAUCCCCUGAACUUCCAACUCCUGGCUGAUGAAACGGAGCAAGUUGUCUCUGCCUUAUGGCCUCCAUCACCAAGCCUGAAGGAGAGUCUCUCAGCCCGGUUUGGGAGUAAACCCAAAACCGUUCAUUCGUCAGGGAAUGCCCCAGGAAACCAGGGCGGUCUUCCAAGCGGGCAGCCACGUUGCCUACUUGAGGCCAAGGCAGAAGCAUCAAUCACAUGGGGCGUAGUUUCUGUCUGGCUAAAGAACGGCUCACGCGGACCUCGGGAAUGCGACUGUGGAAACGACGGGGAAGCUGGAAGGGCUGGGUGGCGGGGGAAGCUGGAGGGCACAGCUUCCAGAUUCCAGUUUGUUAAGAAUCACCUGAAGGACGUUUCUCUGAAGGGAAAGUGGGCAUCUGUGAAGGGUUAGAGGCACAUACUUCAACUUUCCCUAGCACAAGAGUGGAAAUCCAUACUCCUUGGGGAGGGACUUUGUCACUGAACCUUAAGAAAAUGGUUACUGGACUGAGCUUGGUUACUUAUGCCUGUAAUCCUGACGUUUUGGUAGAUGGAAGUGGGAGCAUCGAUUGAGGCCAGGAGUUCUAGCCUAGGCAAUGUAGUGAGACUCUCAUCGAAAAGAAAAUAAAAAAAAGAAGAAAGAAUCUCGUGGCUGUCAUUUUUAAUGUUGCUGGUGUGCAGGGAGGCUGUUUUGACUCUUAUUUCCAUUCUUGGGCCACCGGCAGAGCAGGGCAAAGCUAUGAGGUUACAUAGACCUGGCUUAGACCCCAGUCCCAUUCCCCAGCAGCUUCAGGCCCAAGCAACGGUCUCCAUCUCCCUGAACACAGUCUCCUUAUAGGUAAAAUAACUGCAGAGUUGAUGCUGGAAUUAAAUCAAUGCAGUGGCGAGCCCAGCGCUGCAGAGCCCCGUGCUUAGUGACCAAAAUAAUGUCCCGCCUGCCUCAUCUUCCUCUCGGAUUUUUGCCAAGGCCAAACUGCGCGUGUCCCAGAAAAAAACCCUCGGACACUUGGCCUCUGCCCUGUCUCAGCCGAGUGACUAGGAUGACUGGGAAGUGAAUCACAGGAAAAUCACCCAAGCCCACUCUUCUCCACAGCCGGUGAGCAGAAGGAAGGAAGCAAAGAAGGAAGGGAGGAAGGGAAGAAGGGAGAGUUCAGUUCCCUUUCGUCGUUCACACAGUGGUCCUCCACACCAGGAAACCUAAGGGCUCUGUGGAGGGCCAGGUGCCGUGGCAGCAACACUCCUCAGGGCCUGUUUCAGCACCCCAUUUACGUGGCACAUGAAAAAUUCAGGAUGAACGCCCUGGCUGAAAGCUCUUCCUGGGUUUGGGACAUCAGAAGACCUUCCCGGGAUGGGCUCUUGUCUCUGCAGUAGCUAUGACCUGCACAUAAACCUGUUUCCUACACUGUAAAAUUGGCGUAACCACCAUUCCCUCCCAGUCUUUCUCUGGAGUCCUAAUGGGAACAGUGACGGAAUGAAAGUGACCACGCUGGAACCCGAAGCGCUGUUCCCCUCCGUGGCUUCACACUGAUCUCCACACUAGAAUUCCGUGUCUGCAGUUCAAGUUCAAACUACUGUGGUCGGGGAAGGGCUACAGAGAUCUCGCUUGGCCGUGGAGUCACCGGCCCCGUCCAGUCUUGCUUGGGACACAUACUGGUUUACACUCUCUCGGGUUCAGUUUCCUCAUCUGUAAAUGGGGCUCGUAUCCCCCUCAUAAAGUGGUUUGGGGGAUAAUAAAGCUUGUAAAAGCGCUUUGCCCCAGUGCUUGGCACAUAAUACGCGCUACGUUAACAAUGUCGCGUACACGCCCGAACCGGAGGAACCCCAUUCCACGCUCCUUCUGGAACCGAAUUCACCUCUGAGGCUUUGGGGCUUCAGAGCCGGAGCCGCUUGGGCAAAACCAGCAGAACAGCGAGAGGGAACGGGCUGGUCUAGCCCUGCCCUGAGCAUUUCUACUGAGACCCCCGGUCCUGCUUCUUCCAGCCUCUGCUGGAUUUCUCUCCGACCCCUCUGGAGCGAAGCCCUUUGGCCCUGCGUUGCAUGCGGCACGGUGCGGGUUCGGGCUCUGCGCUGGAGCCGGGAUGCCCUCCGGCGGAGGGUGCGCGUAGGCGGCGCCUGGGCGUGAGCCCCGCCUGCAAGGCUCAGCGUCGGGGAAGCACUUUUCUCGUCGACCCGGGGUCUUUUUCCGCCAAGGAGCUCGGGGCUCAAGAACUCGGGACUGGGCUGUGGGCGGGGCAUGGUUUUCCUCUCUGGGCGUCCUAAUCUCCAAUUUCAGGCAAAUUCGCUAGGAAGAACCUUCCCGAGCGCGCCUUCUCCAACAGGACCUCCAAGCCAGCCUCACGCACGCAGGCCUGGCUCUCUCCUGCAGAAUCCCCACCUGCCCUAUAACUACCCACUUCAGAUAUGGGGGAAUGGAGGAGAUAUUCCAAUCACGCCAUCUACCUACAGUUUCCACGGCCCCUUCUGUUGAAUGGUAUUUUCCUUUAGGGUCCCUAGAAGCAGAGCAAAUGAAAAGGCCAGGGGGAAAAAAAAAAAAAAAAGAAAGAACCGGUGAAUUGGCUCUGAGCCCAAUAAACGGUUCCUCUUUCCUUCUCCGGUCCUUUCCCUUCCAACAGAGCGAUUGAGAAAUCAUUUCAAUAAUCAGCAAAUCGGCUGGGAAAUGGAGAACCAGAAGGGAAUGUCCUAUCCAACAGCGCUUUUUCUUCUCUCAAUAGAAGCCCAGUCUUUCAUUUAGAUAUGAAUAUAGCUACUGUGCAUUUCUCCAUUAAUAAAUAUAAAUUUCCAAACUAGGUGGUGAGGGAUAUGAAUUUCCAUGGUACAUUGGGCCCUAGAGACACCAAGAAGCUUCAGGUCAUAAGGGGGUCUAUUCAGGCUAUGUCCAAGCACAACCAAAUUAUGGCAUUAAAAACAAGAGGUCUUGAUUCAGAUCUUUCACGUUUUAAUAACAGAGGGGGAUGCUGCUGAUAUAGAAAAGUGAUUGAAAAUAUUUGUAAACAUAUACUUCUCACUGGACCUCCAGUCAUGUUGGUGGGUGUGGUAGACAGAAUCAAGUACGUCAACUAGCUGUUUUCUGGUUUAGAAACAAAAAAUACCCCCAGCCCCACCCCCACUCUGGAGUCUUUGCUUCUCAACUACGAAAUGGAAAAAAAAGAACUCAAGUCCCAUUUAGACUGUGGGAGCUCAGCCCAUGAAGGGACUGUGGGAAUUGACAUGGAGAGUUUGGGGUGGAGAGGUGGAAGGGUGGAGGAAAUGAGAUCGGCAGCAGACACUGAGUCAGAGGCCUGAGACUAAGGCCUGGCUCUGUGUCCUUGAUAUCCCCAAGCCUCAGUGUUCACAUCUAUAAGAUGAGGAUAAUAUUGAUCUCACAGAACUGCUGUGAAGAAUCAACCACAUAAUAUAUGUGACGAUGGUUUUUCAUUAUCAGCCUUUCCUUGGCCUGGACCAAAUUGAAAGGAGACUGUGGGGCCAGGCAAGGUGGCUUGGAUCAUGCCUGUAAUACUAGCGCUUUAGGAGGCUGAGGCAGGAAGAUCCCUUGAGACCAGGAGUUUGAGACCAGCCUCAGCAACAUAGUGAG